RNAcentral lists this ribosomal RNA (1143 nucleotides) under uncultured Bacteroides sp. Its description in RNAcentral is "bacterial SSU rRNA". It matches the Rfam family "Bacterial small subunit ribosomal RNA", at positions 24 to 1166 of the family's 1533-position model. Lineage: Bacteria; Pseudomonadati; Bacteroidota; Bacteroidia; Bacteroidales; Bacteroidaceae. The record is from RNAcentral.
UCAGGAUGAACGCUAGCUACAGGCUUAACACAUGCAAGUCGAGGGGCAGCAUUGGAGUAGCAAUACUUCAGAUGGCGACCGGCGCACGGGUGAGUAACACGUAUCCAACCUGCCGCUUACUCGGGGAUAGCCUUUCGAAAGAAAGAUUAAUACCCGAUGGUAUAAAGAGUUCGCAUGUUCUCUUUAUUAAAGAAUUUCGGUAAGCGGUGGGGAUGCGUUCCAUUAGAUAGUUGGCGGGGUAACGGCCCACCAAGUCUACGAUGGAUAGGGGUUCUGAGAGGAAGGUCCCCCACAUUGGAACUGAGACACGGUCCAAACUCCUACGGGAGGCAGCAGUGAGGAAUAUUGGUCAAUGGACGAGAGUCUGAACCAGCCAAGUAGCGUGAAGGAUGACUGCCCUAUGGGUUGUAAACUUCUUUUAUAAGGGAAUAAAGUGAGGGACGUGUCCCUUUUUGUAUGUACCUUAUGAAUAAGGAUCGGCUAACUCCGUGCCAGCAGCCGCGGUAAUACGGAGGAUCCAAGCGUUAUCCGGAUUUAUUGGGUUUAAAGGGAGCGUAGGUUGACAUAUAAGUCAGCUGUGAAAGUUUACGGCUCAACCGUGAAAUUGCAGUUGAUACUGUAUGUCUUGAGUGUACAAGAGGUGGGCGGAAUUCGUGGUGUAGCGGUGAAAUGCUUAGAUAUCACGAAGAACUCCAAUUGCGAAGGCAGCUCACUGGGGUACAACUGACACUGAGGCUCGAAAGUGUGGGUAUCAAACAGGAUUAGAUACCCUGGUAGUCCACACAGUAAACGAUGAAUACUCGCUGUUUGCGAUAUACAGUAAGCGGCCAAGCGAAAGCAUUAAGUAUUCCACCUGGGGAGUACGCCGGCAACGGUGAAACUCAAAGGAAUUGACGGGGGCCCGCACAAGCGGAGGAACAUGUGGUUUAAUUCGAUGAUACGCGAGGAACCUUACCCGGGCUUGAAUUGCAGAGGAACAUAGUUGAAAGAUUAUGGCCGCAAGGUCUCUGUGAAGGUGCUGCAUGGUUGUCGUCAGCUCGUGCCGUGAGGUGUCGGCUUAAGUGCCAUAACGAGCGCAACCCUUAUCAUUAGUUACUAACAGGUCAUGCUGAGGACUCUAGUGAGACUGCCGUCGUAAGAUGU